Molecule: long non-coding RNA, 2033 nt
Filed under: Salmo salar (Atlantic salmon)
Lineage: Eukaryota; Metazoa; Chordata; Actinopteri; Salmoniformes; Salmonidae
Description: lncRNA (ENSSSAG00000089486.1)
Source: RNAcentral
AUCCCUCAGAGCAGAAUCAUCAUGUUGUUCUAGAAUCCCUCAGAGCAGAAUCAUCAUGUUGUUCUAGAAUCCCUCAGAGCAGAAUCAGCAUGUUCUAGAAUCCCUCAGAGCAGAAUCAGCAUGUUUCUCUUCUAUACAGAAUGACUAACAUUAUUCUGAUGUGGGUCCAUGUCUUGAUUUCACUAGUUUUAUUGUAUUUCAGAAUGAUGUAUGUUUCAUAAGGAUAUCAUGUGAGAAAUAUAAACUAAGGCAUGAACCAAGUCUGCUGCUGAGUUCUCCCCCUGACCCCUGACCCCUGACCCCUGACCCUGACUUGUUAAAGCCAGAACCACAUAUGGAUCCUUCGGUGUUAGACUGAUCCCCUCCAUGGAAGGACCCUAUUCCACACGCAACAGAUCCCCUCCAUGGAAGGACCCUAUUCCACAUGCAACAGAUCUGAUCCAUGGAAAAGACUAAAUUCUCAUAUUUCAGAGUCCCAUCUUUAUGAGAUUCUGUCUCUGCAUAAUGUAUAGAGUCCCCUCCCUCUCUAUCAUAAUACCUGGAUCGUUCUUCACCAUUAUCUCUCCAUAUCCGUUCUUGCUUGGUUUGUUGUAACAGUAUUUUUAUUGGGAGUUUCACAAUUUUCACCCCAUAUUAAGAGAUACAACGACAAGGCAAAAAAUAAAACCAGCCCUCACUUACACAUAUCCGUAUGCUUGCACGCACACACACACACACACACACACACACACACCAUUUCUCUCCCCGCUCAGCGCUUCUCUCACCCCAUCCCCCCCUCUCAUUGCAAAAAAAAUAAUUAAAUAAAUAAAAAAUAAAAGCUCAGUUUAAACCAUGAAAUCGUGUUCUCCACACGGACCGUCCAGUGUCAUUCUAUAAAUACAUAGAUCACCGUUCUAAGAGAGAAUCCCCGCAGCGUUAUAUAGCUGAUACUUCAGGUUCUAGGUAAUGUAAGUAAAGGUUCCCAAUACUCUGUAGAACUGAUCUGUCUUAGAAUGCAAUGUACAUGUACAGAUAUUCCAGCGGCGCCCAUUUCAAACAGUAUCUCUCAUGCCAAUCUUUAAUAGAAGGAUCUUUAUCACUAAUCCACUGUAAAAGGAUGUGUUUUUCCCCCCCCUCCCUCCCUGCGAAGGUGAGGAUGUUGUAAAGCCUCCUCUUAUCCACAGAAGUUACAUGCCUACUAGGGAGACCUAACAGUAGAGAAACUGGGUCCAAUUCUAGAUCGACCCGCUCUAGGAUCUUUUCAAUUUCCCCACCAGACUAAUAUCUUUGUAUUUUUUGGGGUACAUGACCAUAAACAAUGUGUCAGGGUGUCUGAAUCAGUUUUACAUUUGAGACACUGAGGAGAAGAGGAAGAAGGGGCUAAAAUGCAUGUCUGCCAUUUGGGGAUGUAUGCAAUCUGUGUAUUACUCUUAAUUGAAUUGCUCGCGUACGAUUACAGAUAGAUAUUGUCCUCCCACAUCUCUUCGUUCAAUAGCAACAGACAGUUCUUUCUCCCACACUUGUUUCACCCUCUGUGUGUCACACAGCGGGAAAGGGACCUUAUAAAGCAUCAUAAAACAGACUUACAGACGUUUUCCUUUGAGGGGGAAGAAAAAAAGCAUUUUUUUCCAAUGACAGACAGAUCAGGGUUGCCACGUAAAGGUGGUGCUCUUCAGAAUAUAAUGUCUUACUUGUAGGAAACGGGAAAAAAAAGUCCUGCUUUUGGGAAGUUGAUAUUUCUCGACCAUCUGCUCAAAUGACAAUAAAACAUCUUAUCAGCAAAUAAGUCAUUUAGUCUGCGUAUGCUCUUAUUAAGCCAAACGUUAAAGCCAGCAUCCAGCAAUCCUGGGGGCGAAAUCUGGGUUGUUAAGAAUUGGGGUAAGAGCAGAGGUUAGUUUGGACCUUCCCAAGGAAACGAUGAACUGACCUCCAUACUUUGAGUGUGUUAAGUUGUUGCAGUGAUAUUUUACAGACUUGAAACUUGUGAAAAAAAUAAAAGAUCAUGUAAAAGGGGUAUUUUGAAAGAGAAGUCUCAAUGUUUAACCAAAAUAGAG